CCCUAGAGGAGCCUGUUCCAUAAUCGAUAAACCCCGAUCCACCUCACCCUCCCUUGCUUAGCCUAUAUACCGCCAUCUUCAGCAAACCCUGAUAAAGGUUACAAAGUGAGCACAAACGCCCUGCCGCCGCAAAAACGUUAGGUCAAGGUGUAGCCCAUGAGAGGGUAAAAAUGGGCUACAUUUUCUAUAUCAGAAAACCCCACGAAAACUCCUAUGAAACCUGGGAGUCCAAGGAGGAUUUAGCAGUAAAUUAAGAAUAGAGUGCUUAAUUGAACUAGGCCAUAAAGCGCGUACACACCGCCCGUCACUCCCCUCAAAUAUACUUAAGGAACACUUUAACUAAACGCCCUAAUAUUUAUAUAGAGGGGAUAAGUCGUAACAUGGUAAGUGUAUUGGAAGAUGCACUUGGAC
Molecule: ribosomal RNA, 411 nt
Filed under: Macaca nemestrina nemestrina
Lineage: Eukaryota; Metazoa; Chordata; Mammalia; Primates; Cercopithecidae
Description: partial 12S ribosomal RNA
Rfam family: Bacterial small subunit ribosomal RNA
Source: RNAcentral